Molecule: long non-coding RNA, 821 nt
Organism: Plutella xylostella (diamondback moth)
Lineage: Eukaryota; Metazoa; Arthropoda; Insecta; Lepidoptera; Plutellidae
Source: RefSeq, a predicted model, not a curated record
ACACGCACACAUUUAUCUCUGUUAUCUUGACAAACGAUAGCGAUGACGACUACGGCGAUGUAGUACCUAGGUCAGUUAUUGUCAUCCCUUACUAUCCCGUGAUCAGACAAAUAUUGCUAUCCUUGUCUCCUUUCUAACCGGCAUGCAUCGCACGCAUAGAACGCGUGAGCGACCGCAUAACAUCUUGACAAGCUAUAGCAAACCGGUAUUUAUUACGUCCCUUAUGUGACCGCCGCCGCGCGCCGCCACCGGUGAAGUUGGGGUUAGUAUUUUGCAUGUUUUGUUUGAUAAUUUGUUUACAGUUUAGUGCAAACUAUGGUCACGAUCGGUGUUAUUUUUGGUUGUUAAAAUAUUGUGAGUGCUCUAUACGCAAAUGAAUAUUCAAGAUGUUAUAUUCUAAAAGAUAUUAGUGGAUGCAGAUAAGAGUGUUUAGUGAGUGCUAUGUUUGAAUAUUGCAAGUGAAAACACAGCCUAUCGAUGUAAUGCGCCGAUAAAUUAUCAUGACUCCAUUGAUGUAAUGUGCUUAAAAACUGCAAUGGCUCCGAAUACAUGAUUACCAGAUAACAAAUCCUGGCGCAGCUUACGUGUGUUCUUCAAUAACGUCGCAAGCUACAGUGGCUGUUGAUAAUUUUUGCAAGUUCUACACCUACAGGAUUCAGUUAUCUGGGCAUUAUAGAUACCCUAUAAUCACCUACGAAGUUAUUUAGGUAUAUUUAUUAAAACCAUUAUACAAGGUGUGGCAAAAAGGGUAUACUAAGCUGAAAGCUACAUGUGCAGCAUGGUAUAUCUAAGCCCGAAACUGAAAACAGAAUUUAAAUAUU